This 513-nucleotide ribosomal RNA is filed under the name Ceratomantis kimberlae. RNAcentral's name for it is "partial 16S ribosomal RNA". It matches the Rfam family "Bacterial large subunit ribosomal RNA", at positions 1889 to 2600 of the family's 2925-position model. Lineage: Eukaryota; Metazoa; Arthropoda; Insecta; Mantodea; Hymenopodidae. The record is from RNAcentral.
GGUUUCUUGAUAUACUUAGGAAAUUUAACCUGCCCACUGAAAGUGUUUAAAGGGCCGCAGUAUUUUGACUGUGCGAAGGUAGCAUAAUCAUUAGUCUUUUAAUUAAAGGCUAGUAUGAAUGGUUGGAUGAGGUGAAUUCUGUUUUAUAAUAAAUGAAGUUGAAUUUUGAUUUUAAGUAAAAAGACUUAAAUGUAAUUAAGGGACGAGAAGACCCUAUAGAGUUUAAUAAAUUUAAUAAUUUAGUUUGGUUAUUAUUAAAUUUAUACUUAUUAUUAAGUUUAUUUAAUUGGGGAGAUUAGAAAAUAAAAUGAACUUUUCUUUGAAAUUAAUAUAUUUAUUAGUUAAAUGAUCCAUAAUUAAUGAUUAAAAGAUUAAAUUACCUUAGGGAUAACAGCAUAAUUUUUUUUAAGAGAUCUUAUCGAAAAAGAAUAUUAUGACCUCGAUGUUGGAUUAAGAUUAAUUUUAAAUGUAGAUGUUUAAUAAUUAGGUCUGUUCGACCUUUAAAAUCUUACA